CACAGUUCACAGUAAAGCCCAAGACUGCACCUGCCCAUCCAGUGCUUUUUCAAUGUAUCCUGGCACUGAGCAUAGACCUCUUCCCAGGCAGAGCUGACAGCAAGUAAAGGAGAUCAUAAUCAGGGGACCAAACAACUUUGUCUAAAGUGUGAAUGUCACCUAAGGAGAAGCUGUGAGAUCAGAAGGGUGGAGCAGAGGAGCAGACACCAUGAGGGAGAGUCCUUGGGGGUGCGUCUGCCAGACUGACACUGUCUGGCCUGGGCAGUGGAGGGGCUGGCAGGAACCACAGGUACUGGUGGUGUGACUACUACUGCCUGUGCUUGGAUAUGGACCCUCUGCAAUAUGCGGCAGUCUCAUUCAUUGCCCCCUACAUCCUACACCAAGUAGAAAUGGAAGGCGAUUGGAUACUUCACAGAGAGACAAGAUCUAAGUGGAGAAGGAAUGCGUCCUGUGGCUGUGGAGAUCCUUGGAGCUUGGAGGGGAGAGCUUGAGCCCCACUGGUGAUGACCUCCCACAACUCGCCAACUCAGCCCUCCCUAAGUCCCCAUCGGGGGCCAAUUCUCUCUCUGGGGUUGGGGGGACUCCCCCAUAGCUCAUCCAUCAUAGGGAUGUUGGUAUCUACUGUGGGUUGGGUAGGGCCGAUGUGCUGAGGAUGGCUCCCCCACAAGCAAGAGAUGUGGAUUUGGGGAGCUUCCCGUCUUGUAUUGAAGGAACACAACUCAGAAUAAUAAGCGCCAACUAUAACAAACCCACAGCCAACAUCAUACUGAAUGGGCAAAAGCUGCAAGCAUUCCCCUUGAAAAGUGGCACAAGAUAAGGAAGCUCUUUCUCACCACUCCUAUUCAAUAUAGUGUUGAAAGUCCUGAUCACAGCAGUCAGGCAACAGAAAUAAUAAAGGGCAUCCAAAUAGGAAAAGAGAAAGCCAAACUAUCCUUUUUUGCGACAAUAUGAUUCUAUAUCUGGAAAACCCCAUAGCCUCAGCCCAAAAGGUCCUUCAUCUGAUAAACAAUUUCAGCAAAGUUUCAGGAGAUAAAAUCAAUGUACAAAAAUCACUAACAUUCCUAUACACAAUAGCCAAGCCAAGAGCCAAAUCAGGAGCACAAUCCCAUUCAUAAUUGCCACAAAAAGAAUAAAAUACCUAGGAAUGCAGCUAACCAAGGAAGUAAAGGAUCUCUACAAUGAGAAUCACAAACUCUGCUCAAAGAAAUCAGAGAUGACACAAACAAAUGGAAAAACUUUCCAUGCUCAUGGCUAGGAAGAAUCAAUAUCAUUAAAGUGGCCAUACUACCCAAAGCAAUUUAUAGAUUCAAUGCUAUUCCUAUCAAACUAUCAAUUACAUUUUUCACAGAACUAGAAAAAAACUUAAAAUUCAUAUGGAACCAAAAAGCCUGAGUAGUCAAGGCAAUCCUAAGCAAAAAGAACAAAGGUGGAGGCAUCACAUUACCUAACUUCAAACUACAGGGCUACCAUGACCAAAACAGCAUGGUACUGGUACAAAAGCAGACACACAGACCAGUGGGACAGAAUAGAGAGCCCAGAAAUAAGGCCACAAACCUACAGCCAUCUGAUUUUCAACAAAGUUGACAAAAACAAGCAAUGGGGAAAGGUCUCCCUAUUCAAUAAAUGGUGCUGGGCUAACUGGCUGGCCAUAUGCAGAAGAUCGUAACUGGACCCCUUUUACUAUGUACAAAAAUUAAGAUGGUUUAAAGAGUUAAAACCCAAAAUUAUAAAAAUCCUGAAGAUAACUUAGGCAAUACCAUUCUGGACAUAGGAACUGGCAAAGAUUUCAUGAUGAAGACACCAAAAGCAAUCGUAACAAAAGCAAAAAUUGACAAAUCGGAUUUAAGGGCUUCUUCACAGCAAAAGAAACAACAGGGCAGACAAUCUACAGAAUAACAGAAAAUUUUUGCAAACUAUGCAUCUGACAAGGGGCUAAUAUCCAGCAUCUAUAAGGAAUUUAAACACAGUUACAGG
RNAcentral lists this non-coding RNA (1974 nucleotides) under Pongo abelii (Sumatran orangutan). The record is from RNAcentral. Lineage: Eukaryota; Metazoa; Chordata; Mammalia; Primates; Hominidae.